UGGGCGGUUCGCCGCCGACGACGUCGCGAGAAGUCCACUGAACCUUAUCAUUUAGAGGAAGGAGAAGUCG
This 70-nucleotide ribosomal RNA is filed under the name Combretum caffrum. Its description in RNAcentral is "partial 18S ribosomal RNA". The record is from RNAcentral. Lineage: Eukaryota; Viridiplantae; Streptophyta; Magnoliopsida; Myrtales; Combretaceae.